CUGCGGGACUAGGUCCUCACAGGCCCAGCGCGGGGACGCUACCCGCUAGGGCCUGCAGGGGGCGCUAGAGAGAGCUGGGCGGCACCUGCGCCACAGCGUGUGGUGUGCAGCAGAUGCGGUCCCCAGGCGUGGUGUCUCUGGGUCCUGCGGAGCAGAGUGAAUUCGAGGCUGCAGCCGCUUGCCUGGCUCCAGACCCCCACAUGGGGCAGAGGGUGCAGCUGCUGCCCAGGAAGGAACUGUCACCCAGCAGGAAGGCUGCAGGUCCGCGCUGGCUGGGGUGAAGUAUACUCCACCUGCUGCGGCCUGACUCCAGCUCCAGGGUGGCUGGGCGCCCUGUCUGGGCCUCAGGCUCGUCGGGCAGUUCGAGGACCGACUGGGGACAGCCACUGGCUGGGAUGAGGCUCUGGGCGCAAGAUGCUGGCUUUCAGACCUGAUCUGCUCUAUCGCCUUCGGCUAUUUCUGGUCCAGCUGUGUUUACUUUUGCCCCGUGUCCCUGUCUUUGUUCCCGGAAAUCAGCCCGCUGGAAAAACCAAUUAAAGCCAAAAGAGAUUAAAGGGGGCUCGCAGGAGAUGAGCGUUACUGCGUGCAUUUGGGCAGCACUGGGAGUAAAUAGUUCAGACUCUGCUCACAGUAAAAUUAAGCAAGUAUUUUACAUUCAACAUUCAUUUCCUCCCUCAGACUGCUGUUUCCAUGGGAACGCGAGCACUCCAGGUAACCCUGGCCUCCACGCCUGCCGGUUCCCGUGUCUCUUGGGAGGGCCAAUCUCACAUGGGACGUCAGGAUCCCCACAGUGGAGCUCUGUGUUACACUGA
This 812-nucleotide long non-coding RNA is filed under the name Fukomys damarensis (Damara mole-rat). RNAcentral describes it as "lncRNA (ENSFDAG00000021792.1)". The record is from RNAcentral. Lineage: Eukaryota; Metazoa; Chordata; Mammalia; Rodentia; Bathyergidae.